GCCUAGAGGACAAAGGCGCGAGCGCGAACGUGAGGGGAAUGAAUGAGAGAAUCACGAGGGUAGGUUAAGCCAUACGCAAGCAUGUGCAAGAGGACAGGUAAGGAAGCGGGCUGGCAGCCAGUAAGGCAAAGGACUUUCAUGCUGCAGACCGUCGCACUUUCUCAGGAAAGUGUGCGUGGACGGGAUUGAUGGUAAGGUUGGGAAACAACGUAAUGCGUCGCACUUCCACACGCACUUCCACACACGCACGAUGCGCAGGUGUCGCUUGUCAAGAACUAAAUAAAGUGUCCGCAGACAACCCCCCUUACAUGCGGCAAACAUUCCCCCUGCCCUCCCAGGAGUUGACAGCGGCAUUCGUAAGAGAAUAUUUGCAUGGAGUGAGUUUUACUAUGGUUUUUAUUGCUUCACAAGCGGUCCAGCAGACUAGCAACUCACCGCUACCGGCGGCGGUGGUGACGAUGUCGGUGGCGGCGACCGACGCGUUGGUGGGGGACGAGGCGGAGGCCGGGGUGGCGGUGGGCUUGGCGGUGGGGGCGUCGGCGGCCGUGGACUAGGCGGCGGCGGGCUUGGCGGUGGUGGGUUAGGAGGCGGUGGGCUUGGCGGUGGAGGGCUUGGCGGUGGUGGGCUUGGCGGUGGAGGGUUUGGCGGCGGUGGGCUUGGUGGUGGAGGGUUUGGCGGCGGUGGGCUUGGAGGUGGAGGGCUUGGCGGCGGUGCGCUUGGCGGAUCGGGGCUUGGCGGGUCAGGGCUUGGCGGAUUGGGGCUUGGCGGGUCAGGGCUUGUUGGCAAGUUAGGCCAUGCAGGAUCUGGAGGGCUCGGCGACGUCGGAGGUGAUGGUGGGCUCGGCGGCGGGGGUGACGGGUCAGGGGGUGGCGGCCUGGGUGACGGCGGCCUUGGUGGCGGCCUGGGCGGCGGCCUGGGCGACGGCGGCCUGGGGGGUGGGUUGGGCGGUCGCGGACUUGGAGGCGGCCGUGGGCUCGGCGGCGGGGUGGGCGGCACGGGGCUCGGGGGCGGUGGUCGUGGCGGCGGCGGGCUGGGGGGAGGCGGGCUCGGCGGCGCCGAUGGGAGCGUCUCAAGCACGGAAAGUGGGGGGCACUCAUCCGGCGAGACAUCGUAUCGGCAGAGGUAGACACGCAAAGUGU
Molecule: long non-coding RNA, 1139 nt
Filed under: Volvox carteri
Lineage: Eukaryota; Viridiplantae; Chlorophyta; Chlorophyceae; Chlamydomonadales; Volvocaceae
Description: long non-coding RNA (VCAR_LNC000632)
Source: RNAcentral